Non-coding RNA from Triticum aestivum (bread wheat), 115 nucleotides. The record is from Rfam. NCBI's taxonomy places the organism in Eukaryota, Viridiplantae, Streptophyta, Magnoliopsida, Poales, Poaceae.
CUAGUACUUCCUCCGUUCGAAAUUACUCGUCCAAGAAAUGAAUGUAUCUAGAUGUAUUUUAGUUAUAGUUACAUCCAUUUUUGUGACAAGUAAUUCCGAACGGAGGGAGUACUCC